UGUUUUUUUUUUUUUUUUUUUUUUUUUUUU
RNAcentral lists this non-coding RNA (30 nucleotides) under Prorocentrum micans. Lineage: Eukaryota; Dinophyceae; Prorocentrales; Prorocentraceae. The record is from RNAcentral.